Megalops cyprinoides (Indo-Pacific tarpon) is the source of this 132-nucleotide small nucleolar RNA. RefSeq annotates it as small nucleolar RNA SNORA49. The transcript has a single exon. NCBI's taxonomy places the organism in Eukaryota, Metazoa, Chordata, Actinopteri, Elopiformes, Megalopidae. The record is from RefSeq and is a predicted model, not a curated record.
GUUCCCCUCCCUUACUCCAGGGCCUGAGUACAGUUUGGGCUCCUGGCAUUGACAGGGGAUACAGCAAGAGCUCUCUCCUCUUUCACAUUCAGCCACAUUGCUGUCUGCGGGGCUCGGGAGAGGGCUGACACC